CUCCUGGAAACGGGUGGUAAUGCCGGAUGUUCCAGUUGAUCGCAUGGCCUUCUGGGAAAGCUUUCGCGGUAUGGGAUGGGGUCGCGUCCUAUCAGCUUGACGGCGGGGCAACGGCCCACCGUGGCUUCGACGGGUAGCCGGCUUGAGAGGGCGACCGGCCACAUUGGGACUGAGAUACGGCCCAGACUCCUACGGGAGGCAGCAGUGGGGAAUAUUGCACAAUGGGCGCAAGCCUGAUGCAGCGACGCCGCGUGAGGGAUGGAGGCCUUCGGGUUGUAGACCUCUUUUAUCGGGGAGCAAGCGUGAGUGAGUUUACCCGUUGAAUAAGCACCGGCUAACUACGUGCCAGCAGCCGCGGUAAUACGUAGGGUGCAAGCGUUAUCCGGAAUUAUUGGGCGUAAAGGGCUCGUAGGCGGUUCGUCGCGUCCGGUGUGAAAGUCCAUCGCUUAACGGUGGAUCCGCGCCGGGUACGGGCGGGCUUGAGUGCGGUAGGGGAGACUGGAAUUCCCGGUGUAACGGUGGAAUGUGUAGAUAUCGGGAAGAACACC
RNAcentral lists this ribosomal RNA (548 nucleotides) under uncultured Bifidobacterium sp. Its description in RNAcentral is "bacterial SSU rRNA". It matches the Rfam family "Bacterial small subunit ribosomal RNA", at positions 147 to 710 of the family's 1533-position model. Lineage: Bacteria; Bacillati; Actinomycetota; Actinomycetes; Bifidobacteriales; Bifidobacteriaceae. The record is from RNAcentral.